Molecule: long non-coding RNA, 360 nt
Organism: Physeter macrocephalus (sperm whale)
Lineage: Eukaryota; Metazoa; Chordata; Mammalia; Artiodactyla; Physeteridae
Exons: 3
Source: RefSeq, a predicted model, not a curated record
GAUUCUGGCUGUGUUGAGACUAGACUGUGGGUGAACAAGGGAAGAAGUAGGAAGACCAGUUAGAGGCUGUGGCACUCAUCCAGGUGAAAGAUCACAGUGGCUGUGUCUAGGAGAGUAGCUGGGGAGGUCAAAGGAUGUUGCCGUGACAAGGAAGAGAAAGCUUACCAGCUACUUACCAUUGCUUCUUAGAAUGAAGACUCAGUGAAACAUUUCGUAUUUUUUCAGUGGAGGAUCAGUAAAAGAAGAGGGAGAGUUACGGAAGGGGUGGCAAGAAAAGCCCCAAGUUCACCUUCUGCUUGCCCACAUAACACCUCUUCACCUUCCGGCUGCCAGAGGAGCUAUGCUAUUCUUAGCCAUCUC